Artibeus jamaicensis (Jamaican fruit-eating bat) is the source of this 187-nucleotide small nuclear RNA. RefSeq annotates it as U2 spliceosomal RNA. The record is from RefSeq and is a predicted model, not a curated record. The transcript has a single exon. NCBI's taxonomy places the organism in Eukaryota, Metazoa, Chordata, Mammalia, Chiroptera, Phyllostomidae.
AUCGAUGCUUGGCCUUUGGCUGAGAUCAAGUGCAGUAUGUUAUUAUCAGUUUAAUAUCUGACACAUCCUCCGUCUGACGACGUUAUCAUAAAUGGAAUUUGGAGCUGGCAGGUGAAAUCGGAGUUUGCUCCAUCCACUCUCAGCAUCAACCUGAUAUUGUGGUAGUUCUGGAAAUGGUGCACCACCU